UACAGAGGGUGCAAGCGUUAAUCGGAGUGACUGGGCGUAAAGGGCAUGUAGGCGGAAUGAUAAGUUAACUGUGAAAGCCCUGGGCUUAACCUGGGAAAGUCGGUUGAUACUGUCAUUCUGGAGUCUAGGAGAGGGAAGUGGAAUUUCCGGUGUAGCGGUGAAAUGCGUAGAUAUCGGAAAGAACACCAGUGGCGAAGGCGACUUCCUGGCCUAAGACUGACGCUGAGGUGCGAAAGCGUGGGUAGCGAAC
RNAcentral lists this ribosomal RNA (250 nucleotides) under uncultured bacterium. RNAcentral's name for it is "partial 16S ribosomal RNA". It matches the Rfam family "Bacterial small subunit ribosomal RNA", at positions 524 to 773 of the family's 1533-position model. The record is from RNAcentral.